This 129-nucleotide microRNA precursor is filed under the name Digitalis purpurea (common foxglove). RNAcentral's name for it is "miR166b stem-loop (dpr-MIR166b)". Its record names the gene dpr-MIR166b. It matches the Rfam family "mir-166 microRNA precursor family". From Rfam's summary of the family: This family represents the plant microRNA (miRNA) precursor mir-166. Animal miRNAs are transcribed as ~70nt precursors and subsequently processed by the Dicer enzyme to give a ~22nt product. In plants the precursor sequences may be longer, and the carpel factory (caf) enzyme appears to be involved in processing. Lineage: Eukaryota; Viridiplantae; Streptophyta; Magnoliopsida; Lamiales; Plantaginaceae. The record is from miRBase by way of RNAcentral.
UUGAGGGGACUGUUGUCUGGCCUGAGGCCACCAACAAGAUCUAUAUGUCAAAUCUUGAUCUAAUCUUUGUAAUCUAGUUACAGUUAGAUCAUGUGUUAGUGACGUCGGACCAGGCUUCAUUCCCCCCAA